GAUGGACGCUGGCGGCGUGCCUAAUACAUGCAAGUCGAGCGAACAGACGAGGAGCUUGCUCCUCUGACGUUAGCGGCGGACGGGUGAGUAACACGUGGAUAACCUACCUAUAAGACUGGGAUAACUUCGGGAAACCGGAGCUAAUACCGGAUAAUAUAUUGAACCGCAUGGUUCAAUAGUGAAAGACGGUUUUGCUGUCACUUCUAGAUGGAUCCACGCCGCAUUAGCUAGUUGGUAAGGUAACGGCUUACCAAGGCAACGAUGCGUAGCCGACCUGAGAGGGUGAUCGGCCACACUGGAACUGAGACACGGUCCAGACUCCUACGGGAGGCAGCAGUAGGGAAUCUUCCGCAAUGGGCGAAAGCCUGACGGAGCAACGCCGCGUGAGUGAUGAAGGUCUUCGGAUCGUAAAACUCUGUUAUUAGGGAAGAACAAAUGUGUAAGUAACUAUGCACGUCUUGACGGUACCUAAUCAGAAAGCCACGGCUAACUACGUG
This 497-nucleotide ribosomal RNA is filed under the name uncultured bacterium. Its description in RNAcentral is "partial 16S ribosomal RNA". It matches the Rfam family "Bacterial small subunit ribosomal RNA", at positions 28 to 507 of the family's 1533-position model. The record is from RNAcentral.